CCGGAUGUGGUGUAGCUGGGUAGCACGCUUGCCUUGGGAGCAAGUAGUGUGGGUUCAAAUCCUGCCGUUCGGA
This 73-nucleotide transfer RNA is filed under the name Paenibacillus lactis. RNAcentral's name for it is "tRNA-Pro". It matches the Rfam family "tRNA". From Rfam's summary of the family: Transfer RNA (tRNA) molecules are approximately 80 nucleotides in length. The record is from RNAcentral. Lineage: Bacteria; Bacillati; Bacillota; Bacilli; Caryophanales; Paenibacillaceae.